RNAcentral lists this ribosomal RNA (406 nucleotides) under uncultured bacterium. RNAcentral describes it as "partial 16S ribosomal RNA". It matches the Rfam family "Bacterial small subunit ribosomal RNA", at positions 30 to 526 of the family's 1533-position model. The record is from RNAcentral.
AUUGAACGCUGGCGGCAGGCCUAACACAUGCAAGUCGAACGAGUGGCGGACGGGUGAGUAAUGUCUGGGAAACUGCCCGAUGGAGGGGGAUAACUACUGGAAACGGUAGCUAAUACCGCAUACCAUCUGAUGUGCCCAGAUGGGAUUAGCUAGUAGCUGGGGUAACGGCUCACCUAGGCGACGAUACCUAGCUGGUCUGAGAGGAUGACCAGCAACACUGGAACUGAGACACGGUCCAGACUCCUACGGGAGGCAGCAGUGGGGAAUAUUGCGCAAUGGGCGUAAGCCUGAUGCAGCCAUGCCGAGUGUAUGAAGAAGGCCUUCGGGUUGUAAAGUACUGUCGGAGGAGAGGCGUUACUCGCAGAAGAAGCACCGGCUAACUCCGUGCCAGCAGCCGCGGUAAUUC